UAAGGAGCUUGCUCCUUUGAAGUUAGCGGCGGACGGGUGAGUAACACGUGGGUAACCUACCUAUAAGACUGGAAUAACUUCGGGAAACCGGAGCUAAUGCCGGAUAACAUAUAGAACCGCAUGGUUCUAUAGUGAAAGAUGGUUUUGCUAUCACUUAUAGAUGGACCCGCGCCGUAUUAGCUAGUUGGUAAGGUAAUGGCUUACCAAGGCGACGAUACGUAGCCGACCUGAGAGGGUGAUCGGCCACACUGGAACUGAGACACGGUCCAGACUCCUACGGGAGGCAGCAGUAGGGAAUCUUCCGCAAUGGGCGAAAGCCUGACGGAGCAACGCCGCGUGAGUGAUGAAGGUUUUCGGAUCGUAAAACUCUGUUAUUAGGGAAGAACAAAUGCGUAAGUAACUGUGCGCAUCUUGACGGUACCUAAUCAGAAAGCCACGGCUAACUACGUGCCAGCAGCCGCGGUAAUACGUAGGUGGCAAGCGUUAUCCGGAAUUAUUGGGCGUAAAGCGCGCGUAGGCGGUUUCUUAAGUCUGAUGUGAAAGCCCACGGCUCAACCGUGGAGGGUCAUUGGAAACUGGGAAACUUGAGUGCAGAAGAGGAAAGUGGAAUUCCAUGUGUAGCGGUGAAAUGCGCAGAGAUAUGGAGGAACACCAGUGGCGAAGGCGACUUUCUGGUCUGUAACUGACGCUGAUGUGCGAA
Molecule: ribosomal RNA, 700 nt
Filed under: Staphylococcus sp. K188
Lineage: Bacteria; Bacillati; Bacillota; Bacilli; Caryophanales; Staphylococcaceae
Description: bacterial SSU rRNA
Rfam family: Bacterial small subunit ribosomal RNA
Source: RNAcentral